This 856-nucleotide ribosomal RNA is filed under the name uncultured Flavobacteriia bacterium. RNAcentral's name for it is "bacterial SSU rRNA". It matches the Rfam family "Bacterial small subunit ribosomal RNA", at positions 12 to 868 of the family's 1533-position model. Lineage: Bacteria; Pseudomonadati; Bacteroidota; Flavobacteriia. The record is from RNAcentral.
UUUGAUCCUGGCUCAGGAUGAACGCUAGCGGCAGGCUUAACACAUGCAAGUCGAGGGGUAACGGGGAAGCUUGCUUCCGCCGACGACCGGCGCACGGGUGCGUAACGCGUAUACAAUCUACCUUGUACUGGGGUAUAGCCUUUAGAAAUGAAGAUUAAUCCCCCAUAGUCUCUUAGAGUGGCAUCACUUCUAGAGUAAAGGUUACGGUAUAAGAUGAGUAUGCGUUCUAUUAGUUUGUUGGUGUGGUAACGGCACACCAAGACUACGAUAGAUAGGGGCCCUGAGAGGGGGAUCCCCCACACUGGUACUGAGACACGGACCAGACUCCUACGGGAGGCAGCAGUGAGGAAUAUUGGACAAUGGAGGCAACUCUGAUCCAGCCAUGCCGCGUGCAGGAAGACUGCCCUAUGGGUUGUAAACUGCUUUUAUACAGGAAGAAACACCUCUACGUGUAGAGGCUUGACGGUACUGUAAGAAUAAGGAUCGGCUAACUCCGUGCCAGCAGCCGCGGUAAUACGGAGGAUCCAAGCGUUAUCCGGAAUCAUUGGGUUUAAAGGGUCCGUAGGUGGAUAAUUAAGUCAGAGGUGAAAUCUUGCAGCUCAACUGUAAAAUUGCCUUUGAAACUGGUUAUCUUGAGUUAUUAUGAAGUAGUUAGAAUAUGUAGUGUAGCGGUGAAAUGCAUAGAUAUUACAUAGAAUACCAAUUGCGAAGGCAGAUUACUAAUAAUCAACUGACACUGAUGGACGAAAGCGUGGGUAGCGAACAGGAUUAGAUACCCUGGUAGUCCACGCCGUAAACGAUGGUUACUAGCUGUUUGGACUUCGGUCUGAGUGGCUAAGCGAAAGUGAUAAGUAAC